UGUUAUUAUCGAGGGUGUGACGGAGAAGGAUAGUGUGUGCUAGCGAUUGGAAAUGCUAGUCUAAGCGUUUAGGGAGUUACAGUAGGCAAAUCCGCUGUAACAAUUCUGAGGCGUGAUGGGGAAGGUCAUUAAGACCGAAGUACAUGAUUCCAUGCUUCCAAGAAAAGCAUCUAGAGAGAGAAGUAGUGCCCGUACCGCAAACCGACACAGGUAGAUGAGGAGAGAAUCCUAAGGCCGGCGGAAGAAUUGCAGUUAAGGAACUAGGCAAAUUGACCCCGUAAGUUCGCGAGAAGGGGUGCCUGUGAGAGCAGGCCGCAGAGAAUAGGCCCAAGCAACUGCUUAGCAAAAACACAGGUCUCUGCUAAAGCGUAAGCUGAUGUAUAGGGGCUGACGCCUGCCCGGUGCUGGAAGGUUAAGGGGAACACUUAGCGCAAGCGAAGGUGUGAACUUAAGCCCCAGUAAACGGCGGCCGUAACGAUAACGGUCCUAAGGUAGCGAAAUUCCUUGUCAGGUAAGUUCUGACCCGCACGAAUGGCGUAAUGACUUGGGCACUGUCUCAACUGCAAAUCCGGCGAAGUUGUAGUGCGAGUGAAGAUGCUCGCUACCCGCGAUUGGACGGAAAGACCCCGUAGAGCUUUACUGUAGCUUAGCAUUGAAUUCCGGUAUUGUCUGUACAGGAUAGGUGGGAGACUGGGAAACUAGGGCGUCAGCCUUAGUGGAGUCAACCUUGGGAUACCACCCUGACAGUACUGGGGUUCUAACAGGACGCCAUGAAGCUGGUGACUGGACAUUGUUAGGUGGGCAGUUUGACUGGGGCGGUCGCCUCCUAAAAAGUAACGGAGGCGCCCAAAGGUUCCCUCAGAACGGUCGGAAAUCGUUCGUAGAGUGCAAAGGCAGAAGGGAGCCUGACUGCGAGACCCACAAGUCGAGCAGGGACGAAAGUCGGGCUUAGUGAUCCGGUGGUACCUCGUGGGAGGGCCAUCGCUCAACGGAUAAAAGCUACCUCGGGGAUAACAGGCUGAUCUCCCCCAAGAGUCCACAUCGACGGGGAGGUUUGGCACCUCGAUGUCGGCUCGUCGCAUCCUGGGGCUGUAGUAGGUCCCAAGGGUUGGGCUGUUCGCCCAUUAAAGCGGCACGCGAGCUGGGUUCAGAACGUCGUGAGACAGUUCGGUCCCUAUCCGUCGCGGGCGUAGGAAAUUUGAGAGGAGCUGUCCUUAGUACGAGAGGACCGGGAUGGACUGACCUCUGGUGCACCAGUUGUUCUGCCAAGAGCAUGGCUGGGUAGCUAAGUCGGGAAGGGAUAAACGCUGAGAGCAUCUAAGCGUGAAGCCCCCCUCAAGAUGAGAUUUCCCAUAGCAUAAGCUAGUAAGACCCCUUGAAGAACACAAGGUUGAUAGGUCAGAGGUGGAAGUGCGGUAACGUAUGUAGCUGACUGAUACUAAUAGGUCGAGGGCUUGACC
Molecule: ribosomal RNA, 1460 nt
Filed under: metagenome
Description: bacterial LSU rRNA
Rfam family: Bacterial large subunit ribosomal RNA
Source: RNAcentral